RNAcentral lists this ribosomal RNA (492 nucleotides) under uncultured bacterium. RNAcentral describes it as "bacterial SSU rRNA". It matches the Rfam family "Bacterial small subunit ribosomal RNA", at positions 28 to 507 of the family's 1533-position model. The record is from RNAcentral.
GAUGAACGCUAGCUACAGGCUUAACACAUGCAAGUCGAGGGGAAACGAUAUUGGAAGCUUGCUUCCGAUAGGCGUCGACCGGCGCACGGGUGAGUAACGCGUAUCCAACCUGCCCACCACUUGGGGAUAACCUUGCGAAAGUAAGACUAAUACCCAAUGAUAUCUCUAGAAGACAUCUGAAAGAGAUUAAAGAUUUAUCGGUGAUGGAUGGGGAUGCGUCUGAUUAGCUUGUUGGCGGGGUAACGGCCCACCAAGGCAACGAUCAGUAGGGGUUCUGAGAGGAAGGUCCCCCACAUUGGAACUGAGACACGGUCCAAACUCCUACGGGAGGCAGCAGUGAGGAAUAUUGGUCAAUGGGCGAGAGCCUGAACCAGCCAAGUAGCGUGCAGGACGACGGCCCUAUGGGUUGUAAACUGCUUUUAUACGGGAAUAAAGUGGGCCACGCGUGGUCUUUUGCAUGUACCGUAUGAAUAAGGACCGGCUAAUUCCGUG